Salvia miltiorrhiza (redroot sage) is the source of this 882-nucleotide long non-coding RNA. RefSeq lists it as uncharacterized. The transcript has 2 exons. The record is from RefSeq and is a predicted model, not a curated record. NCBI's taxonomy places the organism in Eukaryota, Viridiplantae, Streptophyta, Magnoliopsida, Lamiales, Lamiaceae.
CACACAAAGAAAACAGUGAACAAAAAAAUUGAAAUCCCUCUUAUCCUAGCGACGCCUCUCCCAAAACCCUAGCCUCCCUGACCUCGGCGACCGCCUCCUUCCACCCCGGUGCAGCCGCGCGGCACCGUCUCCUUCCACCCCCCCAGCGACGCCUCUCCCAGAACCCUAGCCAACAUGACCCGGGUGACCACCUCCCUCCACCCGGUGCAGCCGCGCGGCUCUGUCUGCCUCCACCCCGGCGAGGGAGAAGUCGAUCUUUUCAAUUUUCUGAACAUGGAGAUUUCGUUGAAUUCGAUUUGGGACGAAUUUAGGGCUGCCGAUUCGAGGUUUGCUGAGCUGGCGUUGCAUUUGGAGGGGGGCUAGGGUUUUGCGAUAGGACCCCUUGUAAUGCUUGAUUCAGUUUAUUUGCUCGUCGAAUAAUAAUAUACAGAGGAUUGCGAAGAUGGUGGAUUUCAUCUCGUCCAAGGGGAGAUUUUUGGAGAAUGUGGGAGGAUUCAAUUUUUUCAAGUUCUCGUUGCUGGAGAAGCUGGCGCUCCUGUCGGAAGCUGAGCUUAGAGAGGCUGGUUUUGGGUAUAGCCAAAACUCAAGAAAGUUUUCUUCUUGGUAAUCUUGACAGUUAAAAUAAAUUUUGUCGCCUCUUCGAUAGAAAAGAGUUGAAUGUACAAGGAGCUAAAUAUAUUGUUGGCACUGUCGCGGCUUUGCAAUCAAAACCUGUAGGGGGUCUGGAGUGGCUUGCUUCUCUACGUAAAUUAGAUCUUCAAGGGGCAACUGGUGGCCUAUCUAAAACUUUUGAAAACAUCUAUGUCCAUUUGUACGGAAUGUAAUCAAAUGUUUUCUUUCCCAUUUUAUUUUUCUUUAGGAAAAAAAAUGGCAUUGUUGCUA